Molecule: RNA transcript, 3075 nt
Organism: Myripristis murdjan (pinecone soldierfish)
Lineage: Eukaryota; Metazoa; Chordata; Actinopteri; Holocentriformes; Holocentridae
Gene: khdrbs1b
Gene name: KH domain containing, RNA binding, signal transduction associated 1b
Exons: 11
Source: RefSeq, a predicted model, not a curated record
GCGUCAGUCCGGCUAGCUGCGUCCUUCUGAGCUCACUUCCGUCGGUUUGAGUCGGAUCAUUAUUCUUCCAGUCUGCCCGCUUUUGUUCUUCCAUUUCCAUCCAGCCAGCGCUGCUGACAAGAGGGAAUCCGCCGCUUUGGAAAGCACAAAAACGCAAAGCAGCGGUCCGUCCGUCGCCAAAACGCACGGUAGCCACAUGCAAAGCGCAGACUGCGGAACGGAUACACGGCACUCCGUAGUUACAUAAUUGGACUACUUUUUUUUUCUACUGUUGGGGUUUUUUUUCACGUAUUUCUGAGAUUUUUUUCUUCCCUCAAAACUCAAAAUGGAGAACGACGGCAAAUAUCUCCCCGAGCUCCUGGCGGAGAAGGACAGCCUGGACUCGUCGUUUACGCACGCCAUGAAACUUUUAAAUGCAGAAAUCGAGAGAAUCCAGAAAGGAGAGCCCAAAAAGGAGGGAGAAACAUACCUGGACCUUUUCACAACAAAGAACAUCAAACUUAAGGAACGAGUGCUCAUACCUGUUAAACAGUAUCCGAAGUUCAAUUUCGUGGGGAAGAUUCUGGGACCUCAGGGCAACACAAUCAAGCGUCUGCAGGAGGAGACCGGGGCCAAGAUCUCCGUGCUGGGCAAAGGAUCCAUGAGGGACAAAUCCAAGGAGGAGGGGCUGAGGAAAGGCGGCGAACCCAAGUACGCCCACUUGUCCAUGGAGCUGCACGUCUUCAUCGAGGUGUUCGCGCCCGUGCCCGAGGCCUACCUCCGCAUGGCGCACGCCAUGGAGGAAGUCAAGAAGUUCCUGUUUCCCGACAUGAUGGAUGAUAUCUGCCAAGAGCAGUUCAUGGAGAUGAGCUACCUGAACGGAGGCCAGGAGCACGGAGCCCGAGGCCGAGGGGGCCUGCCGGUCAGGGGCCGCGGAGGACCCCCUGCUGGAGCGCCCAGGGGUAGGGGGAUGCCUCCGCGUGGUGGUGUCGCCAGGGGAGGUGUGACUCGAGGCGGCCCAGCCAGAGGUGGGGCGGUGAGGGGGGCACCGUCAGGCCGAGGAGGGCCACCAGCAGCGCCCGCCAGGGGAGCCGCAGCACCCCGAGCCAGGCCCCCAGCCGCCGGACCCCCCCAGAGGAUGGCACCUCCGCCCCCCCACCAGCACGCCCCUGCUGCAAGCGAAGGCUACGAGGACUAUGCCUAUGAUGAGAGCUACACAGAGACGGCCUACGAGUCCUACGACAGCUACUACAGUCAGCCGCAGGCAGAACCAGAGUACUAUGACUACGGACACGGAGAGACAACAGAGUCAUAUGAGUCAUAUGGCCAGGAUGACUGGAACGGGACCCAGCGAUCGGCCCCAGGGAAGGCCCCCCCACCCAGAGCUGCCAAGACGCCUUACAGGGAGCACCCGUACCGACAGUACUGAAGUGGACCCGCCACCCUUAACGUGUCGCCCUGACUACCGCCUGUCUACCACGGCAGCUCGCGCUUUAAGCAGCCCGACAAAAGCACAGCUAUCGGUCACUGAGUACCCGGAGACGGUCAGCUGAAGUGAGACCAUACAAUCCUCAGUUGACGCCGUGCGUAAGAGGCAGCCUCGGCGUGAGGGAGGUGGUCAGACGAAGCGCUCGGUGCGCGCCGGUAAAAGGAGUGGCCCGGGGCCCGGCUCUUGUUCCCGCGGGAGGGGGAGGCUGAAAGGUGGGCCUGCUGCCAAGAGGCCCACAGGACCCAGCCGAUGCACUGUGUGGGCAGAGGAGCCGGCUUCCACUCCCACUGGAACAGGACAAAGACUGCAGCUGGUCAGCUAAGCCGCAUCACUAAAGAGCAUCCACCCAACACCCACCUUUUUUACGUGGACUAUCUUCUGAUCAUGUGCAAUAUUGAAUUACCGUUGUGAUAUCUCCGUGUAAAAUUUUUCAAACAUCGAAGACACUGAAGUCUUGAUGGAUUGUAUGUUGUCGUGCACAUUUUCCCCCCUUCUUCUGACAAAUCUAAUUGUUACAGUAUAAUGUACCAUAAAAUGAGCACUCCUGUUAUAGUAGGCUGUGAAAUUGUUUUUAAUUUCUCUUAACCCUUGAAUUAGAUGUGAAAUGAACUAUCUUUACUUUCUGCAAGGCAAGCUGUAUUCCUCUGUUCAAGGUUUUCGUGCCCCAGAGAGAAUUGUAUGACUCUGCAUUUAAAGUAUGCCAUUCUUUAACAUUCUGCGAGUGUGCUGUUUAGUAUCCAUGCCUUUUUGCCAUGUGAAAUUAGACGCGGCGCUCGUGUGUCAAAGAUGCCUGGAGAGAGCGGAUCUGUAUCUUUUACGGACGGGUCCUCGACACACGCUCACAUGCCCAGCCGCACGCACACACACACACACACACCUUGGCAUAGCAUAGCCUAUGUAGCCCUGAGGAUAUCAAAUGCAAAUGCACUGCCUAUUUGCAUGUACUCACAUGUACCCUCCCUGCAAAUGUGCAAAGCUUUCAUAACCAAUGUUGGCCUGUUCCCCUCGGUUCAGCAUCCAAGUAUGAUAAUUCAGUGAGAUGGAGCUGGGAAAAGAGAUGUGUGUGUGUGUGUGUGUGUGAACGAGAGGGACAGAGGGUGAAGACAGACAUUACCAACUUUGACUUCCACCCCCUAUCCAUCUAGUCUCCGCUGAUUUGAUUCCCUCCCUAUGCCAUUUUCUGCCAUUAUCACUGAUGAUAUUAUCGCUGUCUGCGGUUUUCACUUGCAUUUAGAGGUCAGAUCUGUACUUUCCUAUAUUAAAAACAAAUUUCUCUGUCCCGAUCCACUGGUCAAAGGCAGCAUUAGCCAACUUGGAGGCUCCAUUUACCUUAUUGGAAAAGCUAGCGGCUUAGAGAUAUCGGGUAGAAACCAUCAUUUGAGAUGAGACGUCAACGGGCCAUAUCCAAAGCAGAUCAUUUUUCAAUCUUUAUUUGCCAUUAUGUCUGAAAUAAUGAUUUCUUUGUCUCCUGUAAUCUAAUGGAAGAGAUAAGUGAUGGUGUGGAAGCAAUCUUCUUUGUUUGAAUCAAUGAACUGUCAAGAACAUAAGUGUGGAAAAGAAAGUAAAUGUUACUUUGCAGCGAUCAAUAAAAGUAGAGCUGAAUUUAA